This 54-nucleotide non-coding RNA is filed under the name unclassified sequences. RNAcentral's name for it is "Xanthine-I sequence". It matches the Rfam family "Xanthine riboswitch aptamer (NMT1 RNA)". Rfam says of the family: Later it was reported as a ncRNA that recognised Xanthine. The record is from Rfam by way of RNAcentral.
AAGAAGAGUAGAAGCGGUCAGGAAGCGUUCAGUUUCCGGGACAUUGCUCUUGGG